This 977-nucleotide long non-coding RNA is filed under the name Nicotiana benthamiana. RNAcentral describes it as "long non-coding RNA (NBEN_LNC016194)". Lineage: Eukaryota; Viridiplantae; Streptophyta; Magnoliopsida; Solanales; Solanaceae. The record is from RNAcentral.
CCACCCUCUGAGGACAUGACCUUACGCUAUCAUCCCCGCCGCGGCCACUAUCCCACCAACCGAUAAGGGUACAGUGGCACACACACGCACUAUAGCGAAAAACGCAAAUGUAGCAAACUAGAAAACAACAUAAUGGACCACACUCUGAAUGCUAGCUAAAAUACGUAAAAAGGUGCACAAAAUAAACAAGAGAGCGGGAGGUACCAACUAUAACAACAGAAUAGACCACACUCGGAAUGCUAGCUAAAAUACGUAAAAAGGUGCACAAAAUAAACAAGAGAGCGGGAUGUACCAACUCCCGGUGGAAAAACCUGGAAGUGUGCUUUGCUGCGCCCGAGUUUUCCUGAAUCUUAGCAAAAUGCGCGGCUCUAUUGCGUCCUGCCGCGAGUCUGAACGAGAGUUUGAACGAUAAUUGUCGGAGGCUUGCUGGAGAUCCUCGCCGGAAAAAUAUGGCACCUGUCCAAGAAAACAGAACACACCCACACACACCGACAAAAAGCAGAAGAGAGAAUAUGAAGAAAAGGGCAGAAAGAGGAUUGAAAUAAACAAAAGAAAAGCAGAACAAAGAACUCAACAAAGGAGAUAAAUUAGCUAAAUUACACGAAAUGUAAAAAAUUCAAAAUUCGUAAAUGGAAAGGAUACACAAAUAAUGGAAGGAAGACUAUGGUUCCAGAUCUAUAUGCACUGACCGAAAAAUAGGAAAUUGCUCUUCUUUUAUUGGUUUACAGUAAACCAAGAAUCGCUUUUGACAACAGCUGAUAAUGAAAAGACAAUUACGAAUCUAGAAAUUAAACGAAAAUCUCCGAUUUAAAUAGACGGAACUAAAACUUCAGUAAUUGCAAGGAAUUUAAGAAUUUGUAGUAACAGUUUCUUAAAUGCAGAAACCAAAACAAUGCUUUAAUCUCAACGCCACAAAGCUUGCAACCCAAAAAUGGUUUAAAAAAAUUAAAAGAGUUAGAAACUGCAAAUGGGCUGAC